AAGCUUCUUACCACUUUUGAUUUGGAAGUCUCCCUAUUUGCAGUUUUUUACUAACUUAAUAUUUAUAUUAAGAAAAGCACCCUGAAUUUUCUUUUGACAGUUUUUGAUGUCAGAAGCAGGAUCAGAAGAAGACCCCUGUGAAGCCCCAAGGCCAGUAACUAGGUGCUGGUACCCAGGGCCGCAGCACUGGCUGCUCUCUCACCCAGCCAUGGAGUUCUAGAACAGUGAUUUUUUACUCUGAUAUUUUCCUGAAAGCUUUUGCAAGCAUCUGUGAUACAAAAUUGCUGGAAGAUUUACAGAAAAGACUCUGACAAGUGCAGGUUUCUGGUAACUUUAAGAUCACAGCAUUGGACUGGGUAAGAAUUUCCAGCACUCUAAUGGAAAACCAAUGGAUUCAUGAGGCUGCUAACCCAAAAUCAAGCAGAACAAGAAUUACAGGGGACUGAAUGAACUGAUGAGGGUGAUUAUAAUUUUUAUGUCUUUGAAAUAUUGCGGGUUCUUUAAUGUUUGUUUUCUAGAGUUAAAGAAUGCCUUUUCUCUUUUCCCUUAAGACCUACAACUUACAGCAAUUUGGUGAAGAAUACUUUUGUAAACAAAAAUGAAACACAUUUUCUUUUCUCCCUACCCCAACCCCUCCAAAAUUCAGAAACUUAUUGAGUAUUCUUUAUUUUCAUGGCAAUAUAAAUAUUUACAUAAGUUCAAUGAAAGUUUGUUUCCCCUGUAACAGGACACAAUUGGGCAAGUCCUCUGCUUGGCUUCUUAGACUGAAAAGGCUUUUUAAAGUCUAAUUUCAGAUUCCUUAUUACCAGACAGUUUUAAGGAAUUCAGAUUGACUUUACAAAACCAAUAAAGCCCCUUAGAUAUUAUCAAA
Molecule: long non-coding RNA, 871 nt
Organism: Homo sapiens (human)
Lineage: Eukaryota; Metazoa; Chordata; Mammalia; Primates; Hominidae
Exons: 2
Source: RefSeq, a predicted model, not a curated record